UAGUGUCGGACUAAUCUAGCUCUUGGAUC
RNAcentral lists this small RNA (29 nucleotides) under Bombyx mori (domestic silkworm). RNAcentral describes it as "ovarian small RNA-23086". Lineage: Eukaryota; Metazoa; Arthropoda; Insecta; Lepidoptera; Bombycidae. The record is from RNAcentral.